Unclassified non-coding RNA from Mesocricetus auratus (golden hamster), 135 nucleotides. The record is from Ensembl. NCBI's taxonomy places the organism in Eukaryota, Metazoa, Chordata, Mammalia, Rodentia, Cricetidae.
GACCUUCAUCUUCUUUUUCUGAUGGAAAUCAGAGGCCUUGAAGGAAGCCAAAGGGUCCCUCCUUGCUCAGCUCUCCAGCCACUGCCUCUGAAAUGGGCACUGCUUUUCUUGACUGCUCAGGGACUCUGACAAAAC